This 539-nucleotide ribosomal RNA is filed under the name uncultured bacterium. RNAcentral describes it as "partial 16S ribosomal RNA". It matches the Rfam family "Bacterial small subunit ribosomal RNA", at positions 28 to 523 of the family's 1533-position model. The record is from RNAcentral.
GAUGAACGCUGGCGGUGUGCCUAAUACAUGCAAGUCGUACGCAUUCUCGUUUCUGAUUGACGGUGCUUGCACCUAUUGACGAGACAUUGGAAUGAGUGGCGGACGGGUGAGUAACACGUGGGUAACCUGCCCAGAAGCGGGGGAUAACAUUUGGAAACAGAUGCUAAUACCGCAUAAAAGUCAAAACCACAUGGUUUUGAUUUAAAAGAUGGCCUUUGUGCUAUCACUUCUGGAUGGACCCGCGGCGUAUUAGCUAGUUGGUAAGGUAAUGGCUUACCAAGGCAAUGAUACGUAGCCGAACUGAGAGGUUGAUCGGUCACAAUGGGACUGAGACACGGCCCAUACUCCUACGGGAGGCAGCAGUAGGGAAUCUUCCACAAUGGGCGCAAGCCUGAUGGAGCAACACCGCGUGAGUGAAGAAGGGUUUCGGCUCGUAAAACUCUGUUGUUAAAGAAGAACGUAUCUAAGAGUAACUGCUUAGGUAGUGACGGUAUUUAACCAGAAAGCCACGGCUAACUACGUGCCAGCCGCCGCCGUAA